AGUGUUGUAACUUAGUGGUAGAGCACUUGCCUCGAAUGUAUGAGGCACUGGGUUCAAUUAUCAGUAUCACUU
Molecule: non-coding RNA, 72 nt
Organism: Ictidomys tridecemlineatus (thirteen-lined ground squirrel)
Lineage: Eukaryota; Metazoa; Chordata; Mammalia; Rodentia; Sciuridae
Source: Rfam